CGGGUGAGUAACGCGUGGAAAACCUGCCGUAUACUGGGGGAUAACACUUAGAAAUAGGUGCUAAUACCGCAUAAGCGCACAGCUUCGCAUGAAGCAGUGUGAAAAACUCCGGUGGUAUACGAUGGUUCCGCGUCUGAUUAGCUAGUUGGUGAGGUAAAAGCCCACCAAGGCAACGAUCAGUAGCCGGCCUGAGAGGGUGAACGGCCACAUUGGGACUGAGACACGGCCCAGACUCCUACGGAAGGCAGCAG
Molecule: ribosomal RNA, 251 nt
Filed under: uncultured bacterium
Lineage: Bacteria
Description: partial 16S ribosomal RNA
Rfam family: Bacterial small subunit ribosomal RNA
Source: RNAcentral